UACGGGGGGGGCAAGCGUUGUUCGGAAUUACUGGGCGUAAAGGGUGCGUAGGCGGCUUUUUAAGUCGGAUGUGAAAACUCUGGGCUCAACCCAGAGACUGCAUCCGAAACUGGAGAGCUAGGGUUCUGGAGGGGAAAGCGGAAUUCCUGGUGUAGCAGUGAAAUGCGUAGAUAUCAGGAGGAACACCGGUGGCGAAGGCGGCUUUCUGGACAGAUACCGACGCUGAGGCACGAAAGCUAGGGGAGCAAACAGG
This 253-nucleotide ribosomal RNA is filed under the name uncultured bacterium. RNAcentral's name for it is "partial 16S ribosomal RNA". It matches the Rfam family "Bacterial small subunit ribosomal RNA", at positions 524 to 776 of the family's 1533-position model. The record is from RNAcentral.